AUGCACUGGCAUGUAUGGUGGAAGUUAUACAUUCCGAAGAAGAAAUGGGGAUUGGGUUUGAGGGAUCUUCACAGCUUUAAUCUUGCUAUGUUGGUAAAGUAGUGUUGGCGACUAAUCCAGAAUCCUGACUCAGUGUGCAUAGUUUUGAGAGAAAAAUAUUAUCCUAAUGGUGAUGUUUUGAAGGUUGGACCUAAGUCUGGAUAAUCGUACACUUGGCAAAGCAUUGUUGCAGGCAUACAAACAUUUCAGAGGGGACACAUUUGGUGA
Molecule: ribosomal RNA, 267 nt
Filed under: Triticum aestivum (bread wheat)
Lineage: Eukaryota; Viridiplantae; Streptophyta; Magnoliopsida; Poales; Poaceae
Description: partial small subunit ribosomal RNA
Source: RNAcentral